Molecule: long non-coding RNA, 874 nt
Organism: Pelobates fuscus (common spadefoot toad)
Lineage: Eukaryota; Metazoa; Chordata; Amphibia; Anura; Pelobatidae
Exons: 10
Source: RefSeq, a predicted model, not a curated record
AGGUACUUCAUGCCUCGCAGGAUAACACUUAAUAAAGAUGCUGGAAAAUCCCUGCACCAAUGGCACAGCUCUAAUGCAAGAACGAAGAUUCUCAUGUUCCAGAAAAUACCCACCAUGUCCUAACUUUGCAGGGUGUCUCUCAUUGAACGUUUCAUAUACUUAUGGAUGAUGACCACUGAAGGCUGGACUUCGAUGCUGGAAUAUAAUCCCUGCAGACAUGGGUCAACUGUAAUACCAGAAUGACUGACAGGGCCAACAUGGACUCUGCAUUCCUAGUCACUGCAGGUGUGUCCCUGAUGUGAAGUAGCAUUAAAGAAUGCAGUGGCAAGAAGACAUCCUUGAAUUCACUGAUGAGAUCAUGGUGAGUCCUCUAACAAAUUGUAAACUUUCAUGACCCUUACACUUCUAUAAUGGAGCAAUGCAAAAUUUCCAAUCUGCUCAGAAUACACUUGUGGCUGGUGUCCUGGUCUCUUGUAGGGCAGGGCACUUAUAGCAUAUGAUGGUGCUUACUUCAAUGUUGGUCUCGGUAUAUGUAUAUUAAAUCCAAACCAGUCACUGACAUGAUGAUUUAACUUGGAAUCUCGUUCGUCUGAAUAAUUCUGAUGUUAAACUUUUAUAUCUGAUGGUCAGUAUGCAAAAACAACAUUGUAUAGAAUGGCCUGUGGUUUUAUUUUGUGUUCACCAUAAAGUAUUCUGUUUCAGAUGUCUCCACGAACGAAGGUCUGGCUCAUACCUGGAGAAUUAAGCCCUAGAAGAAGUUACAAGGUCACCCAGGUGUCGGUCUGACUCAUGUACACUUUUUUUUGGCUUCGGUGAGUAAACUAGCAGAUGCUGAACUCAAAUGUGCAUUAUCAAACGCCUAGAUAUGUCUCUU